This 492-nucleotide ribosomal RNA is filed under the name uncultured bacterium. RNAcentral's name for it is "partial 16S ribosomal RNA". It matches the Rfam family "Bacterial small subunit ribosomal RNA", at positions 29 to 507 of the family's 1533-position model. The record is from RNAcentral.
AGUGAACGCUGGCGGUAGGCCUAACACAUGCAAGUCGAACGGCAGCACAGUAAGAGCUUGCUCUUACGGGUGGCGAGUGGCGGACGGGUGAGGAAUACAUCGGAAUCUACUUUUUCGUGGGGGAUAGCGUAGGGAAACUUACGCUAAUACCGCAUACGACCUACGGGUGAAAGCAGGGGAUCUUCGGACCUUGCGCGAUUGCAUGAGCCGAUGUCGGAUUAGCUAGUUGGCGGGGUAAAGGCCCACCAAGGCGACGAUCCGUAGCUGGUCUGAGAGGAUGAUCAGCCACACUGGAACUGAGACACGGUCCAGACUCCUACGGGAGGCAGCAGUGGGGAAUAUUGGACAAUGGGCGCAGGCCUGAUCCAGCCAUACCGCGUGGGUGAAGAAGGCCUUCGGGUUGUAAAGCCCUUUUGUUGGGAAAGAAAAGCAGCAGGUUAAUACCCCGCUGUUCUGACGGUACCCAAAGAAUAAGCACCGGCUAACUUCGUG